AGAGUUUGAUCCUGGCUCAGAAUCAACGCUGGCGGCGUGCCUCAGACAUGCAAGUCGAACGAUUAAGACUCUCUUCGGAGAGUGUAUAAAGUGGCGCACGGGUGAGUAACACGUAGGUAAUGUACCGGAGGGUGGGGAAUAACUUAGGGAAACCUAAGCUAAUACCGCAUAAUGCAGCGGCUCGACAUCGAGACAGUUGUUAAAGGAGUAAUCCGCCUUUUGAGCAGCCUGCGGCAGAUUAGCUAGUUGGUAAGGUAAUGGCUUACCAAGGCUACGAUCUGUAACCGACCUGAGAGGGUGGUCGGUCACACUGACACUGAAUAACGGGUCAGACUCCUACGGGAGGCAGCAGUCGGGAAUUUUGGGCAAUGGGCGAAAGCCUGACCCAGCAACGCCGCGAGAAGGAUGAAGUAUUUCGGUAUGUAAACUUCGUAAGAAUAGGAAGAAUAAAUGACGGUACUAUUUGUAAGGUCCGGCUAACUACGUGCCAGCAGCCGCGGUAAUACGUAGGGACCAAGCGUUGUUCGGAUUUACUGGGUGUAAAGGGCGCGUAGGCGGCGUGGUAAGUCAGCUGUGAAAUCUCCGAGCUUAACUCGGAACGGUCAGCUGAUACUGCUGUGCUAGAGUACAGAAGGGGCAAUCGGAAUUCUUGGUGUAGCGGUGAAAUGCUUAGAUAUCGUCCAGAACACCGAUAGCGAAGGCAGCUUACUAAGGAGUAACUGACGCUGAGGCACGAAAGUGUGGGGAUCAAACAGGAUUAGAUACCCUGGUAGUCCACACUGUAAACGAUGAUUACUCGAUGUUGGCGAUACACAGCCAGCGUCUUAGCGAAAGCGAUAAGUAAUCCACCUGGGGAGUACGCCGGCAACGGUGAAACUCAAAGGAAUUGACGGGGGUCCGCACAAGCGGUGGAGCAUGUAGUUUAAUUCGAUGAUACGCGAGGAACCUUACCUGGGCUAGAAUGCCCUUGACAGACUCAGAGACGAGUUUUUUCGCAAGAACAAGGAGCAAGGUGCUGCAUGGCUGUCGGCAGCUCGUGCCGUGAGGUGUUGGGUUAAGUCCCGCAACGAGCGCAACCCUUAUCUUUAGUUGCCAGCACGUAGUGGUGGGGACUCUAGAGAGACUGCCCGCGCAAGCGGAGAGGAAGGAGGGGAUGACGUCAAGUCAUCAUGGCCCUUACGCCCAGGGCUACACACGUGCUACAAUGGCGUCUACAGAGUGUUGCGAUCCAGCGAUGGAAAGCCAAUCACAAAAAGGACGUCUCAGUUCGGAUUGCAGGCUGCUACUCGCCUGCAUGAAGUUGGAAUCGCUAGUAAUCGCGCAUCAGCAAUGGCGCGGUGAAUACGUUCCCGGACCUUGUACACACCGCCCGUCAAGCCAUGGGAGUCGGGAGGACCUGAAGCCAGUUGCUGUGAGGCGCUGUUUAGGGUAAAACCGAUGACUAGGGCUAAGUCGAAACAAGGUA
This 1465-nucleotide ribosomal RNA is filed under the name metagenome. RNAcentral describes it as "bacterial SSU rRNA". It matches the Rfam family "Bacterial small subunit ribosomal RNA". The record is from RNAcentral.